AAGGGCUCAGUGCUGAUCCUAACACAUGAAUUACAGUCAGCAAUUAUCAGGACUUUAUAGGCAUCGGACAGUUCUUAUCAAACUUUUCAUCAGCACAAUCUAUAAAUUAAUUAAUACCGAACGGAAUCAAAUCUUUGAAACAGAAUUUCUGAAUGACCAUAGAGAAGCAGAUGGCUUUACAUGGUCGAGGUUGAAGCAAACUGCUCUUCUUACUGGCCUAGUCCGUCUACUUCCUUUGUGGUUGGUGGACAUAACAGGAAGUUGAUUAAUCACCAGAUGAACAUCAGGUUCUGCUUAUGACGGGGCAUGUCCUUAGAUGGGUAGCAGCACCAUGAUCCUACACAACUCUGUCUUCUUCUGUAUGAUCUGCAGACAUGUUUCUUCUCUGCUGCCUUCUCUCUGCUCUCAUCAGAGUAUCCACACCAUGUCAGUCCAGCCUGUGUCUGGUUGGCGUCGUCGGGCAGAACAUCACGUUGCCGUGCUGGUACAACAGACAUUCCAGCGGGAUUCUCAACGUGUGCUGGGGGCGGGAGACCCUGCCCGCAUUCAAGUGCUCCGGGACCAUCGUCUCCAUCCAGGGAGGCAGGGUCACGGACCGAUCCUCCCCCAGGUACGUGCUCCUCAGUGGGAGAGAAGAGGGCAACGUGUCCCUGACCAUCCUCCAUGCUCGGGAGAGUGACUCGGGCGUGUACGGCUGCAGAGUGGAGAUCCCAGGGUGGUUCAACGACCUCAAGAUCAACAUCCACCUCACCAUGGAUUCGGACAGUACAUUGCAACAUGAAUCUGACCAGAAAUCUGUUGCCGUAGUGUCGGCUCGCCUGGACCCCAUCACCAUGUCAACCGCAAGGCCGAGGGACAAGGUACAAGAGAUAUUGACACUGGGAGUUGAAUCUGACAGCUUGCUCAGCCAUCAGGGACAGCAAAAGGUGACCGUGUUGUUGAUGCAUUCAGCGAAGACGGCUGCCAUCUUCCUGAUCCCACUGGCAGCAAUCCUGGUCUUCAUCCUGGGGAGAUGGAGAAGACAGAGACUGGAGAUGACACCUGGCCAGGAGGAGAACAUCUACGAAGACAUGCAAUCGUUUGCCAGACAGGGAACUGUCACCAGUCAAUCUCUGACCGCACAACUGAGUAAUGUCAGCAGCCAGUCUCCUGGGAGAUAGGGCAGUGUGACAAGAUUGAGAGAAUAAAUCGGUUUUAUUUUAUUUUAAAUUUUCAGUGCUGAGCAGAGGUAGCCUAUAGGAUCAUCGCUCUUUAACCCUCAGAGCUUUGUUACCAGCUUCAGUAGAGAUGAGGCUUCUACACGGAAGGUCAGGAGUUCAAGCUUUCACACAGGUACAACGUACACGCUUUGUUAUCUGUGAAGAGUGUUCCCUAAUUCACCACGACGGAGAACACAUUUCAACUCUUAUUUGUUUAUCAGAGAGAUUAAGGAAGGAAAUAUCAACACAUAGGCUGCAGUAUAGUUCUGUACUGUCUGACAUGACCGGUAUUGUCGUGUGUAACCGGAGCUAUAUAAAUACACACCGACUCUAUGUGUUACCAGUACACUAGCCUAGAAACCUAUACGUUUUGUUUGAUUAGCUUUCUGUGAGCUAGCAUUCUGGUGAACCUGGAAGUUGAGAUGUUUUUAACCCCAAAUGCCUGAGACCUGCUGUUCAUCUCAAUAGGGUUAUGGUUAUUGGUUAGGGUUAGGGUCGAGUAUGUAUACAUGGUAUCUCCCAUGCCAGCUCCUGCCGGUCCACCUGCAGAAAGCAGAGCCACAGCGCCAUCUGGUGGACAGCAAGUGUACGACUCCAAAGCGACAAUGCUGUCGGAAUUCUACAACCGUAGGAGCAUGCAGUCCCAUGAAGAGACUGUGGUCACUCUUGUCACGUGUGUGAAGGAAACUGAAGAGAGGAGAGAAGACAAGCUGGUGUUUCACCUCCAAACUUUCACUUCUUACAUAUAGUGGUACUGUGAGUUGCACAAAAGAGUCCUUGUUUCACACGCUGUAAACCCAAUCAAUUCAGAAUCCGUCGUCGAUUCAGAAUCUUUUGUGCCACCUGAUUGUAUCAAACAAUUUCAGUAAUCUAAUCUAAAUCGAAUGUAUUUAAUUAAAUACGAAUUUAUACAAUCUAUUGAUUGAUCGAAUUACCUGUUUUGAUUAUUUACUCAAGAGAUUCGAAUACCAAACAGUUUGAUGUCAUCAGUCUCCCCAGAAGUUUAGAGUUUUUUUUUACUACACACACAUGUUAUCACACUUCUCCUACACUCCCUGAUCUCCAGUAAAAACAAGCCGAGUGUCUCUAAAUCUCUCCGAGUUCCUCAUAUUCAUUCUCUCUUGAUUGGGAGGAAAACAUUUUUGAGUCACUGUGGAGAUACCCAACAGACCGAUUUAUCCGUGUUGUUAAAUUAAUCUACAACGUGUCCGCAGCCUCCUCCCACACUUCCUCUGUGAUCCAGAGGUGAGCGACGGCCAGAGUUCGACCAAUGAGGAACCAAUACCAACUCUGUGGUCCUCUUCAGGUCAUCUGGUCGUGUUCACCACAUAUGAAACUGGCAUUAAUCGAUCAAUUAACCGCUUUCUAACGGUUUUGUUAAUGUACUUGUUUUUGUGGAUUUAUUAUUUUGUUGUUCUUUGUGACACUGUUUGCAAUACAAAUCAAACGAGUUUGACCUUGACGCUUACAUUCUUACAGUAAUAGAUGUAGUCAGUGAGUGAGUCUGGUCACAUGACACAAACGAGCCAGUGUGAUAGGCGAGAGUCCUGCAGCCUCACAGUCUAAUCAGUUAGGCCGUUGGAACCUUGAAAAAACCCGGCUGAAUAGCUCCUCUAAUAGCUACAAUUGGUAGUGGAGGAUAAACAAGGAACAAUGGCAUUCCAGACCCGUGCAGAUAUUCUCCUAAACCCACGUCGCCUCAGCACCAGGGUUGCCCGUCAGUAACAUCCCAGACACCAGGAGUCAGAUCACCUUUUCCUGCUGACGCGCCCAAUCUCCUGCUCCACAUCAGCACACGACAACAGAACAUGCAGACUUGCAGGGGAACCAAAACCAGUAAUAGGGGAACAGGCUAAGGUCCCAUUCCGCUUCAGACGGACUCUAUUGAUGUGCUAAUAGG
Osmerus eperlanus (European smelt) is the source of this 3099-nucleotide RNA transcript. It is a transcript of the gene named T-cell immunoglobulin and mucin domain-containing protein 4-like, with no coding region annotated. The record is from RefSeq and is a predicted model, not a curated record. NCBI's taxonomy places the organism in Eukaryota, Metazoa, Chordata, Actinopteri, Osmeriformes, Osmeridae. The transcript is spliced from 6 exons.